AUUCAGCUAACGAGUCCCAAAUAGGACGAAACGCGCAUUCUGGAU
Molecule: non-coding RNA, 45 nt
Filed under: Schistosoma mattheei
Lineage: Eukaryota; Metazoa; Platyhelminthes; Trematoda; Strigeidida; Schistosomatidae
Source: RNAcentral